GAACCACUUCGGUGGGGAUUAGUGGCGAACGGGUGAGUAACACGUGGGCAAUCUGCCCUGCACUCUGGGACAAGCCCUGGAAACGGGGUCUAAUACCGGAUACUGACCAUCUUGGGCAUCUUUGAUGGUCGAAAGCUCCGGCGGUGCAGGAUGAGCCCGCGGCCUAUCAGCUAGUUGGUGAGGUAAUGGCUCACCAAGGCGACGACGGGUAGCCGGCCUGAGAGGGCGACCGGCCACACUGGGACUGAGACACGGCCCAGACUCCUACGGGAGGCAGCAGUGGGGAAUAUUGCACAAUGGGCGAAAGCCUGAUGCAGCGACGCCGCGUGAGGGAUGACGGCCUUCGGGUUGUAAACCUCUUUCAGCAGGGAAGAAGCGAAAGUGACGGUACCUGCAGAAGAAGCGCCGGCUAACUACGUGCCAGCAGCCGCGGUAAUACGUAGGGCGCAAGCGUUGUCCGGAAUUAUUGGGCGUAAAGAGCUCGUAGGCGGCUUGUCACGUCGGUUGUGAAAGCCCGGGGCUUAACCCCGGGUCUGCAGUCGAUACGGGCAGGCUAGAGUUCGGUAGGGGAGAUCGGAAUUCCUGGUGUAGCGGUGAAAUGCGCAGAUAUCAGGAGGAACACCGGUGGCGAAGGCGGAUCUCUGGGCCGAUACUGACGCUGAGGAGCGAAAGCGUGGGGAGCGAACAGGAUUAGAUACCCUGGUAGUCCACGCCGUAAACGGUGGGCACUAGGUGUGGGCAACAUUCCACGUUGUCCGUGCCGCAGCUAACGCAUUAAGUGCCCCGCCUGGGGAGUACGG
This 800-nucleotide ribosomal RNA is filed under the name bacterium. RNAcentral describes it as "bacterial SSU rRNA". It matches the Rfam family "Bacterial small subunit ribosomal RNA", at positions 72 to 885 of the family's 1533-position model. The record is from RNAcentral.